RNAcentral lists this long non-coding RNA (478 nucleotides) under Ananas comosus (pineapple). RNAcentral describes it as "long non-coding RNA (ACOM_LNC009092)". The record is from RNAcentral. Lineage: Eukaryota; Viridiplantae; Streptophyta; Magnoliopsida; Poales; Bromeliaceae.
AUAAAUAACUAACUUAGACAUAUUAUGGUUCAGUUUUAUUUUACUAUUUGGAUAUCUGAGUUUUCAGUUUGUUUUGGAAUGUAAUAAAGGAAUUUGUGUUUUCUUGAAAUGGAAAUGGUUUUCUACCCCUCGUGGUAGCGUUUUGAAAAGUUAAAAGUUCCUGUGUAGGGAACAGUUUUCAAAAGAUUUUCUGUGGAUUUUGUAUCUUAGUAUUUCAAAACCUGUUUCUGUGGUUGCAAACAUUUUAACUGAUAGAUGUGGAUUUAUAUUUAAAUAGCGAAUGUAAAUUUGUGAAUCUGUGGUGAAUGGUGUAUGAAUGUAUAUCUGUGGUUGUUUGUAUAUUCAUCUGGUUGUGGUUGUUGUAUGAUUGAACUCUUGUACUUGUGCGACGCCGUGCAAAUACAGGGGAGACUCUGUCCGUGUGAACAGUGGAACUCCUAUGUUUGUGGCGGAUCUGGCACACUCUGGUGUCAGAUUU